RNAcentral lists this long non-coding RNA (684 nucleotides) under Homo sapiens (human). RNAcentral describes it as "HSALNT0039404". Lineage: Eukaryota; Metazoa; Chordata; Mammalia; Primates; Hominidae. The record is from RNAcentral.
GUGGCUGCCGGGCUGCCUGCCCUCAGCGGCGGCGCCUGACGAGGGUGCCGCGGCCGCUGGGCGCAGCGUUCGGGGGUUGCACGGCCCGCGGCGGCGACGAAAACAACGACCAGGACGCUCGGCGCCCCUGUCCGCAGAGUCGCCACUCCCGCCUCUUCUCCGGUCUCUAGCGACGCGGGCCCGCGGCUUCCUCCUUUCCUGCCCAGUUCCCGCGGGCCUCGGGGUUGCAGCGGCUAGAAGUGCCGAGGAGCGCCAGGAGGACCCGGCCGGCUGCGAGGAUUCACGCGCCCGCCACCCCGCCCGGCCCGGGCUUCAUGUGAAAGAGGGACGGGCCUGGCCCCAAGGCCCGCGCCCGACUCCUCGCGCGCCCCUCCGGUCCCCGGGGGCCCUGCGGCAGCCCCCGACCUGGGGCCGCGGUGACAGGCCGCGCUGGGGCGGAGGGGCGGGCUCGGCGGGGGCGGCCCCUCCUUGGGCCUGCGGCUCUCUACGUCCCUGCGGAGCAGCCGGCCAUAAAGAAUGCUGAUGGGAGAACCAUUUUCCUAAUUUUCAAAUUGUUGAGCUGUUUGCCAUAAUGGAUGAUCAGCAAGCUUUGAACUCAAUCAUGCAAGAUUUGGCUGUCCUUCAUAAGGCCAGUCGACCAGCAUUAUCCUUGCAGGAAACCAGAAAAGCAAAAUCUUCAUCACC